This 436-nucleotide ribosomal RNA is filed under the name uncultured Oscillospiraceae bacterium. RNAcentral's name for it is "bacterial SSU rRNA". It matches the Rfam family "Bacterial small subunit ribosomal RNA", at positions 341 to 792 of the family's 1533-position model. The record is from RNAcentral. Lineage: Bacteria; Bacillati; Bacillota; Clostridia; Eubacteriales; Oscillospiraceae.
ACGGAAGGCAGCAGUGGGGAAUAUUGGGCAAUGGGCGAAAGCCUGACCCAGCAACGCCGCGUGAAGGAAGAAGGUCUUCGGAUUGUAAACUUCUUUUAUGAGGGACGAAUGAAUGACGGUACCUCAUGAAUAAGCCACGGCUAACUACGUGCCAGCAGCCGCGGUAAUACGUAGGUGGCAAGCGUUAUCCGGAUUUACUGGGUGUAAAGGGCGCGUAGGUGGGAAAGCAAGUCAGAUGUGAAAUCCAUGGGCUCAACUCAUGAACUGCAUUUGAAACUGUUUUUCUUGAGUGUCGGAGAGGUAGAUGGAAUUCCUAGUGUAGCGGUGAAAUGCGUAGAUAUUAGGAGGAACACCAGUGGCGAAGGCGGCUUACUGAACUGUAACUGACGUUGAGGCUCGAAAGCGUGGGGAGCAAACAGGAUUAGAUACCCUGGUA